This 309-nucleotide long non-coding RNA is filed under the name Rattus norvegicus (Norway rat). Its description in RNAcentral is "long non-coding RNA NONRATT029764". Lineage: Eukaryota; Metazoa; Chordata; Mammalia; Rodentia; Muridae. The record is from RNAcentral.
ACAGAUCCUCAGUAAACCCACUUUCCAAAAAGGUCCCUGGCCACAUCCUGAAGCUCAUUUCCACUUCCCAAUCCCAGGACCUUCACACUCAACACUUGUCCAGAGAUGAAGGAUAGCAUGUCACACCACCCUUCUGCUGGGAGACCAGCAGGCCAUUGCAUGAGCUUUAAAGGAUCAUAGAGGCUCUACACAGCAUCAGAAAGACAUGUUGUGAAUAACAAUGAAAUGGUUUCUAUUCCAUCAUCUACCUAUAGACUACCAUCCUCACUUCUCAGUAGUAUCUGGGAAUAAAGACCCCCUGUGAAAGCC